CAUUAAAAGACCUGGAGCAGUUAAUGUCUGCUGCUAAGGUUUUCACUACAGAUGCAAGAAUAAAAGGUCCCUGUACUUUCUGUCUGGUUGUGGCAGCCAAGGUUUAAUGGGGGAGAACAGGA
Molecule: small nucleolar RNA, 122 nt
Filed under: Dasypus novemcinctus (nine-banded armadillo)
Lineage: Eukaryota; Metazoa; Chordata; Mammalia; Cingulata; Dasypodidae
Description: Small nucleolar RNA SNORA31 (ENSDNOG00000029552.1)
Rfam family: Small nucleolar RNA SNORA31
About the family: ACA31 (SNORA31) belongs to the H/ACA class of snoRNAs which are thought to guide the sites of modification of uridines to pseudouridines. ACA31 is predicted to guide the pseudouridylation of U3713 in 28S rRNA and U218 in 18S rRNA.
Source: RNAcentral